UUGGGAAUCUUGGACAAUGGGGGAAACCCUGAUCCAGCCAUGCCGCGUGAGUGAUGAAGGCCUUAGGGUUGUAAAACUCUUUCGGCGGGGACGAUAAUGACGGUACCCGCAGAAGAAGCUCCGGCUAACUUCGUGCCAGCAGCCGCGGUAAUACGAAGGGGGCUAGCGUUGUUCGGAAUUACUGGGCGUAAAGCGUGCGCAGGCGGUUUUCCAAGUCAGUGGUGAAAGCCCGGAGCUCAACUCCGGAACUGCCAUUGAAACUGUGAAACUCGAGUACGAGAGAGGUGAGUGGAAUUCCCAGUGUAGAGGUGAAAUUCGUAGAUAUUGGGAAGAACACCGGUGGCGAAGGCGGCUCACUGGCUCGUAACUGACGCUCAGGCACGACAGCGUGGGGAUCAAACAG
RNAcentral lists this ribosomal RNA (403 nucleotides) under uncultured bacterium. RNAcentral describes it as "bacterial SSU rRNA". It matches the Rfam family "Bacterial small subunit ribosomal RNA", at positions 355 to 775 of the family's 1533-position model. The record is from RNAcentral.